RNAcentral lists this ribosomal RNA (490 nucleotides) under uncultured bacterium. Its description in RNAcentral is "partial 16S ribosomal RNA". It matches the Rfam family "Bacterial small subunit ribosomal RNA", at positions 30 to 507 of the family's 1533-position model. The record is from RNAcentral.
AUUGAACGCUGGCGGCAGGCCUAACACAUGCAAGUCGAACGGUAACAGGGAACAGCUUGCUGUUUCGCUGACGAGUGGCGGACGGGUGAGUAAUGUCUGGGAAACUGCCUGAUGGAGGGGGAUAACUACUGGAAACGGUAGCUAAUACCGCAUAACGUCGCAAGACCAAAGAGGGGGACCCUCGGGCCUCUUGCCAUCGGAUGUGCCCAGAUGGGAUUAGCUUGUUGGUGGGGUAACGGCUCACCAAGGCGACGAUCCCUAGCUGGUCUGAGAGGAUGACCAGCCAGACUGGAACUGAGACACGGUCCAGACUCCUACGGGAGGCAGCAGUGGGGAAUAUUGCACAAUGGGCGCAAGCCUGAUGCAGCCAUGCCGCGUGUAUGAAGAAGGCCUUCGGGUUGUAAAGUACUUUCAGCGGGGAGGAAGGGAGUAAAGUUAAUACCUUUGCUCAUUGACGUUACCCGCAGAAGAAGCACCGGCUAACUCCGUG